AUGUUGUUGUCGACUCCUCUGUCUCGUCGUCCUGUUCUGACUCUCUUGUCUCCGUCCGCUGAGGCUCUGAAGGAGAGUAAAGUCACUCUGGUGUGUCUGGCCGAGGAUGUCUCGGUGCCUCUGGUGCACGUUACCUGGUCGGUCAACGGCCGCUCCGUUACAGACGGUGUCUGGAACAGCCCUACCGAGAAACAACCGGACAAACGCUUCAAAAUGAGCAGCUCUCUGAGCGUGGAGUCGUCCGUGUGGACGAACGACGCAGAUUUCUCGUGUGAAGUGUCAGUGGGCUCCGAGUCCGCUAAGAAAAGCAUCUCGGUUUCCCGCUGCGGAACGACGGCCUGAAGGAAAAUCUUUAUUUUUUUUUGUUCGUGUUGUGUGAAUUGCGUGACUUCGGUACUUUAUAUAGCACUGUGUACUUACGUUUUUGGUUUUGGCACUUGCAAUUAAAAAUCAAGGCAUGGCA
Molecule: non-coding RNA, 463 nt
Organism: Puntigrus tetrazona (Sumatra barb)
Lineage: Eukaryota; Metazoa; Chordata; Actinopteri; Cypriniformes; Cyprinidae
Source: the annotation of a RefSeq genome assembly